RNAcentral lists this unclassified non-coding RNA (187 nucleotides) under soil metagenome. Its description in RNAcentral is "partial internal transcribed spacer 1". The record is from RNAcentral.
UUGAAUGAACUUAGAGUCGGUUGUCGCUGGCUGUCUUUUGCAGCAUGUGCACGCCUUCUCUUUUCAUCCACACACACCCCUGUGCACUUGUGAGACUGGAGGCCGUAAAAAAGCCUUCAGUCUGCUAAAUUCAUAUACAAGCUCAUUUAAUUGAACUGAAUGUACUUGAUGUAACGCAUCAUUGAAC